GCCCUGAGACCACGCCCCCGUCCGGCGAGCCCCACCCUCCCAGCCCACAGAAGGCUGAGUGACGGGGUAUACAGCCAGUCACAAGGGCCUCUAUGAGGGGGCGGAAGCGAGCCGCGUUUCCCCGCCCCGCUGCAGGCUUAGGGCUGCUCUGGCGCGACGCUGCGGCCUGUGAGAGCCAGCAGCUUUCGACUUUCCAGUCUGUUCUGGUCCUUUGGAACGUGGCAGACGUGGAAAGCAAGAGGACUCUCGCGAGCUUUGGCGGACCCUGUACAAUGGGGAUGGGGCGGGGCGGGCGACACGUGUGCAGCGUCUGGAUUAGAGCUCACCCUCUCUUGGCUUUUCACCGGGAAUUUUGUUCGUGUCCCACUUCCCUGUGCACGCAGAGAGCCAAGGUUAGCGGCUGAAGAUGAGAAAUGACAAAUGGGUUCUGUCGCUAUCUUAUAUCCAUGGCAACUUUGAAUACUCUCAACUAGUCUGUAAGGAUAAAACUUGAGAUAUUUACAUAAAGUAAAAAUGCGGUUGACAAUGGAAUGAUCCUAUUACUGCUUCAGUGGAUUUAGUUUGACUGCCUUUGGCACUAGAUGAAAAUUUUCUGGAGCCUGCAAUGGAAUACUCAAGGAGAAAGUCCCCUGGAAACUAGGACGUGCUCUUCAAAUGUGAGCAACUGUUUCCUUUUUAUUUGUUAAUGACAGAUUUAUACUAUAAAGAGCAUAAGAUUUUUCAAUGGCAAUAUUCCUAUAUGCCCAAUCUGAGCCAAGCUCAUUAACUAACUUGCUGGAUCUAGGGGAGAUCAAUCUACUCUAAGCUCUGUUGAAGAAUUAUAAAACUGGUAACAGAAUGACAUCUUUAUUUUCCCUUCUCUUAUUGUCAACUUUUCUUCCUUCUUUAAAUGUCACUUGAUCUCUUGAAAUGCCAGAUACUAGCCCGUGAGCUGCAGUACAAGGCAGGUGUCAUUUAAUUCCAUAGUGCCUGAGUUAGCCUGUAUUUUGAUGUCAAAAAGGGCUAAUGUUGGCAACUUCAUCUGCUUCCACCUGUACAUGCACUGUGUAGCCCAUUCUACAGAAUCAACCAAGUGCCCAUUUCCUGGCAGCUACUAUACCAAAUGCAGUGAACUUGGUCUUCCAGGAGCUCACGUCAUUUUGGAGGGAGACUGACACCCACACUAAAAAUGGUAACAGAGUGUGUUGCCUUCUUCUUCGGCCUGCAAAGGUGGGUAGACGAGAAAGUGGGGAGGACAGGAUGAGUCAGUCUCCGGGGGUCCUUGUGAACCACAGACAAGUCAGGAGUCCAGACCUGCUGAUGUCUUCUACAGUGUGUUGUUCAAAAUUGAGUCUCAGAGAGUGAGAGUGUCUUGCGAAGGUUGAUAAAUCAGUUAAACCAGUACUAGAACUCAAGGUGCCUUACCAGAUGCCUUCUCAGCAAGGGCAAGGUUGCCUCCAAUGAAAGGAAAUUGGUUCUUGGGGGUAACAAAAUUUAGAUCUUACAAUUUGUUGUUAUUGUUCAGUCGCUAAGUCCUGUCUGACUCUUUGUGACUCCAUGGAUUACAGCAUGCAAAGCUUCCCUGUCCUUCACUGUCUCCCAGAGUUUGCUCAAACUCAAGUUCAUUGAAUUGAUGAUGCCAUCCAACCAUCUCAUCUUCUGCCACACUCUUCUUUUGCCUUCAGUCUUUCCCAGCAUCAGUGUCUUUUCCAGUAAGUCAGCUCUUCACAUCAAAUGGCCACAAAACAGUCGUCUCCAAAUGGCCAAACUGCUUAAAUACAUAUCUGUGAUAUUAUAUUUUCAUGGGAUGGGCGGAUGAGUACAGAAAAAGAAAUAUCUAGAAAGACUUUUCACAGAGUAGGGGACAAUCAUUGUUUUAACAAACUGACUUCACUGUGGUGGUUUCAUGAAUAUGAGUCCAAACUCAUCAAAUUGUAUGUAUUAAAUAAAUACAGGUUUUAACAUGUCACUUAUACUUCAAUAAACCUGUUUUUAAAAUGUUGAGAAGCACUUCCUUACAUCCAGAUUACUGUUUUUUUCUGCUAUAUUACAUAACAAAUUCAGUAAUAAACAUCCUUCUGCAUUAACACCUUAUCUUUAUCCUUGUCUUGAAUAUUAUUUUGUCUAAUUUUCUUUAUUCCCAUUUCUUCUCUAUUUUUUCUUUAACUCUUUAUUUUUUUUCCAUCCAACCAUUACGAGUUGGUUAAUAUGUUGCUACUGAAUUACUUAUAUUCAGACAGUAUACCCUCUGAUAUGGCUUUACUAAUACUGUGAAACUUAUGUAAAUGAACAGAUGUAGGAGGCACACUCCCUUAACUUUAUUCUCUAAAACCACAUCCAUAUUUAAAAACCAAAAUUCAUAAAAGCAUCCUAGUUUAUUGGGAAAAUAUUUUAUGGUUAUACUUAUCAUAGUAAACAUUAAUGAGCAAUGAACACCAAGUGACGGUUGUCUUAUUUUUACAAAACAAAGGAACUGAGGUACCAGUGACUCAAAGUCACACUCUCAUAGUCAAGACCACAUGUUUCAUAAGUGGCAGGUUCUGAACCUGGCAGUCUGACUCCAGAGUACAAGUGUUUCCCUCCACACUAUGGUGGUGAUUAUGACACAAACUUGGAGGCAGUCUGGGCAGUUGCACAGCUGAGUUCUUAUUUCCUUGGUAAUGCUAGUGUAGGAGGAUUGUAACUCAGUUCUGGAGGUCAUCUGUACAUGUGUUUUCCAGGAGCCUGGAAAGUUUAGGGAGCUGAAAUAGUGAUGGGAUGGGGUGUGGUAGGGUCAUAAAGAACCUGACACAAACGUGGAGUUAAGAAUUUUGAAGAAGACAGACAAAACCCUGCUGGGCAGUUUGUAUAUGUGCUUUGGAGGUCAAAAGCUAAGAGCAGUUAUGGGCCAGAAAGUUCGAAGCAUGGCUAAUGUUGAACUAGCUACUCACAAGUAAAGUUGCAGAGAAGCUGCCAUGUGGUCUACGUCCUAGUGACAAACACUAGGCCACUCAAGACUCUUGUAUAAGGUCCUGUUCAUCUUCAUUAAAGGCAGCAUGUCAGAGUCCUAUGAGGGGCAGAUGCUAAGCCACAGUCAGACGUGUGGGAGGUAUAUUGAGGGAAACAAGUGUGACCUAUGAAGGCUUAGAUAGCUGAGGAGAAGGGAGCUCCUUCAGGCUGUGAUGAGGUCUGACAGCUGUGCAUAGAGAGAGAAAAGGAAAGAUGAUUGGGUAGAAAUAGUCACAGGUUGUUUGAAGCAGCUCUGAGAAAAAUCUCAGCCAGGCCAAUGAAAAUCCAGCAGAGUUUAACCUUUAGACAUCAAACAGCCCAGCUCUAACAUCCCUGCCUUGUUCUGUCUUGGGCUGGAAGGAAUGGCCUUCAUGUAAAUGCCACAGAAAGCCAGAUAUGUGGCCUCCAGAGCGGCUGGUGCACUGAGCUCUUCCUAGCAGCGUCUCUUGAAGGCGGUCUGUGUGGUGCAUCUCCAUGACCAUCUCCACAGGCACUUACUCUGGGUCAUUUUCAAACACCUCACAAAGGGAGUGCCAUCAUCCCCACUGAAAGAGGGAUACAUGCUCAGAGAGGCUAAGCAGCUUUCCAGAAGUCACACAGUCUGUAAAUGGCCAAGAUAAAACUUGAACCCAGUUCUUUCUGUUUCUACUCAAGCAUGUCCUCUUUAAGACAUCUAAAACUUUACUGAGGUCUUACAAAUUCUUAAAAGUAGGCAGGGGGCCUUCCCUGGUGGUACCAGUGGUUAAGAAUCCACCUUGCAAUGCAGGGGACCUGACAUGACAUGGAGCAGUAAGCCUGUGCACUGCAACUACUGAGGCCGAGUGCUGCAACUAAGACCCAGUGCAGCCAAAUAAAUACAUAAAUAAAUGAAUACUUAAAAAAAAAAAGUAGGUAGGGGAUGCUUUGUAUUACCCUGGAGCGUAAGGGGAGGAGUCUUAGAUCAUACAGCUUCAUGGAGAGCAUAAAGGACGUAAAUCAAAUUAGCAGAAAUGGGAUGUGAUCAACGUAUACAUUCUUGGAUUUAAAAUUAAAGUUUUUAAUCAUUCAUAAGGCUCCCUGAGACUUUAUUUUCUUGGACUCCAAAAUCACUGCAGAUGGUGGCUGCACCCAUGAAAGAUGCUUCCUCCUUGGAAGAAAAGCUGUGACCAACCUAGACAGCAUAUUUAAAAGCAGAGACAUUACUUUGCCAACAAAGGUCCAUCUAGUCAAAGCUAUGGAUGUAUGUCAUGUAUGGAUUUGAGAGUUGGACUAUAAAGAAAGCUGAGCAUGGAAGAUUUGAUGCUUUUGAACUGUGAUGUUGGAGAAGACUCUUGAGAGUCCCUUGGACAGCAAGGAGAUCAAACCAGUGAAUCCUGAAAGAAAUAAGUCCUGAAUACUCAUUGGAGGAACUGAUGCUGAAGCUAAAACUCCAAUACUCUGGCCACCUGAUGCGAAGAAUUGACUCAUUUGAAACCCUGAUGCUGGGAAAGAUUGAAGGCAGGAGGAGAAAGGGACAACAGAGGAUGAGAUGGUUGUAUGGCAUCACCAAUUUAGUGGACAUGAGUCUGAGUAAACUCCAGGGGUUGGUGAUGGACAGGGAAGCCUGGCGUGCUGCCGUCCAUGGGGUUGCAAAGAGUCGGACAUGACUGAGACUGAACUGAACUGAACUGAAGGCUCCCUGGUCUGUAACUUGAAAGAAUUUCAGAUUUGACUGACUCAAACAGUUGAAUACUUUAGGUAUAGGCAGGCUGAUUUUCCCGAAUGAGCUACUCAGCUCCUGAACGAUGCUCCUAGCUCAUUUAGCAAUCUUGUCAUGACUUAGCUUCUUACGCUGAGUCAUUGUCCCAUAUUCAGAAACACUAAUGAGGCAAAAUCAAUUCUAUUUCAUUUUGAAAAGUAGCCAAGAAAGAAAAUUACUGCUAAUGCUGUUGAUGGAAGUGAAAUGCCUAAAAAGAAAAAAAAUCCUUAGCUAAAAAUUGAAAGUUCUGGAUAAACUAGAGUGCAAGGUGAAAUUUUUGUGUAGAACAUUCACAUCCUGGAUGGGAACACUCUGUGGUCUAAUGGAGCAAUAAGAAAAGGACAUUUAUGAUGUCAUUUCAAGAGAUUUCUCUGGCUUCAGCCAUAACUGUUUUCAGUUGGUUUUUGAUGAUUUUGGAAC
This 5104-nucleotide long non-coding RNA is filed under the name Ovis aries (sheep). Its description in RNAcentral is "lncRNA (ENSOARG00000026524.1)". The record is from RNAcentral. Lineage: Eukaryota; Metazoa; Chordata; Mammalia; Artiodactyla; Bovidae.